Molecule: ribosomal RNA, 491 nt
Filed under: uncultured bacterium
Lineage: Bacteria
Description: partial 16S ribosomal RNA
Rfam family: Bacterial small subunit ribosomal RNA
Source: RNAcentral
AGUGAACGCUGGCGGUAGGCCUAACACAUGCAAGUCGAACGGCAGCACAGUAAGAGCUUGCUCUUACGGGUGGCGAGUGGCGGACGGGUGAGGAAUACAUCGGAAUCUACUUUUUCGUGGGGGAUAACGUAGGGAAACUUACGCUAAUACCGCAUACGACCUACGGGUGAAAGCAGGGGAUCUUCGGACCUUGCGCGAUUGAAUGAGCCGAUGUCGGAUUAGCUAGUUGGCGGGGUAAAGGCCCACCAAGGCGACGAUCCGUAGCUGGUCUGAGAGGAUGAUCAGCCACACUGGAACUGAGACACGGUCCAGACUCCUACGGGGGGCAGCGGUGGGGAAUUUUGGACAAGGGGCGCAAGCCUGAUCCAGCCAUACCGCGGGGGUGAAGAAGGCCUUCGGGUUGUAAAGCCCUUUUGUUGGGAAAAAAAAGCAGCAGGUUAAUACCCCGCUGUUCUGACGGUACCAAAAGAAUAAGCACCGGCUAACUUCGU